RNAcentral lists this long non-coding RNA (3031 nucleotides) under Monodelphis domestica (gray short-tailed opossum). RNAcentral's name for it is "lncRNA (ENSMODG00000046782.1)". The record is from RNAcentral. Lineage: Eukaryota; Metazoa; Chordata; Mammalia; Didelphimorphia; Didelphidae.
CUCCUGCUACAUUCCACUCCAUUGUAUGAUUGUUCUCCUACCUUGGAAGCCACCUUCAUAGAUGACAAGGUGCCAUAGGCUAUGAAUGAGGUAAAAAUCCACAACUCUAGUCCCUCUGAUGAAAUGGGAAACCACCAGACUUUGCCACCUGCCCUUCAAAGAUUGUCCCCAAAUUAGAAUCCACCAUUUUUCUUUUUCCUGUGGUCCCUAGGCACUGUUAUCUUAACUACUUAACUAAUCUAAAGACCUCUGAACCUUGCCAUCUGCCAUGCAGCACAACUUUCUUGUAUGUAUUAUCUCUCCCAAUUAGAGUGUGAACCCAUUGAGAAUAGGAAUUGUCUAGCCUUUUCUAUUUUUAUCCCCAGCUGUUGCUUGGUACACAGUAAAGCACUUAAUUAAUACUUCUUUUUCUUUCAUCCAUCCAUCCAUCCAUCCAUCCAUCUGCCCAUCCGCCCAUCCAUCCUUCCAACAAUCCCUUUAACUAGUGAAGGAAGAUAUUAUUUCCACUACGGAUAAGGGCCUUGUGAUUCCAUUGAUAUAGGAAACUUCCAGGAGGUCUUCUGGGGACAUGGAGUAAGAGGAAGAUGGGAAUGAUGAGGAUCUCGGCAGACAAGAAGAAAAGAAAGUUGUAUGAGCAGAGAAAAUACACCAUUAAGACUGACUGCCAUGAUUCAUGAAGUGGCUGUGUCCGAGGAACUAAACUUCUUUAUAUUAAGCAGAAAGAGCCCUGGAUUUGAACCUAGGGCACCCCAGACCUCAGUAAUGAGCAGAACCAACAGAUGGACAGAAGCCGCCAGCAUGAGGGGCUGCUUGCCAGGUGCACAGAAUCACUCUGGGCAGGGUGUAAGGAAAUCAGUGAGACAGAACAGCCUCCGGGGGCCUGAAGGAACAAUGGAAGGACAAUUGCAAAAGGGGAGGAAGAAGAGAGCCUUUCAUUUCCCCACUAUCUGAUUCCUCCUGGAUGAAUCCCCAAAGCUCAAGGGUCUCUGUUCUCCUCGAAUGCCAAGUUCAGCCAGAAUAUAGGAGAGUGGCUUACCACCACGCUGGGGGAAAGGGGAAGAAAGGUUGCCUCUUCAGUUGCUUCGGAUGUAUCUGUCCCUCUGGGUCAGUUGUUCAAUGCCAAUGCAUAAAACUGGGAUACCCACUGGGGUCACAUCAACUCUUCUGAGAAAGGAGAUUUUUUUAAUGUCUCCUUACCAUGCCACAGUCUUUGACUCAAAGCAUAAAAGUAGUCUAGAGGUCAUUUAAGACUAACCCUUGGGGGCAGCUAGGUGGCUCAGUGGAUUGAGAACCAGGCCUAGAGAUGGGAGAUCCUGGGUUCAAAUCUAGCCUCAGACACUUCCUAGCUGGGUGACCCUGGGCAAGUCACUUGAUCCCCAUUGCCUAGACCUUACUACUCUUCUGCCUUGGAGCCAAUACACAGUAUGGAUUCCAAGACAGAAGGUAAGAGUUUUUUUUUUUUUUUAAUGACUAACCCUUUCAUUUUAUAAAUAAGGAGACUGAGUCCCAUAGAGCUGAGGUGAUUUGCCCAAAAAAUCAUAGGUAUUAGGUGAUGGAAUUAGGAUUUGAACACAGGUCUGCUGACUCCUUUCCUCUGCACCAUGUAGCUUCCAUUGGGGGUCCUCUUCUUCCAUUGGUCUUGGACUUUCUGUUUUUAAUUUUCCAAAAGACUCACCAAUAUUCAUUGAUGUUACUGUAACCUUGGACCUUGUUAGAGGUUUUCUUGGUAAGAUCCUGGCCACAUGGAAGAUAUUUCCUUUGUAUAUAUUUUAGGCUUAUUUGGGUUCAGAGGAUCAUAGAUUUAGAGCUCAGAACUAAAGAUCUGUCCAACUUUCCUCAUUUUAAAGAUGAGGAAACUGAGACUCAGUAAUUUGUCCAAAACUCCAUAGCCAAUAAGUGGCAGUCUAGAUUUGAACCCAAGUCUUCUAGCUCCAAGGCCUCUCUUAUCUCUGUACUUGUAUUUAUUGUUUCUCUCCAGGAAAAAGCAAACUCCUUAAAGGCAGGGACUAUUUAGCUUUCAUCAGGGUCAAUCCCAAUGCUAGGAACUUCAUGACUUAAAAACCCUUACCUAUCAGUUGCAAGGCUGAAGAACAAUAAGGACUAUGCAGUUGGGGUUAAUUGACUUGCCCCCGGGUCAUAGAGAUACAAGUAUCUGAGGCCAGAUUUGAACCCAGGAGCUCCCAUCUCCAGGCCUGGCUCUCUAUACACUGGACUACCCAGCUGCCCCUCAGAAGGAGAUCCUCUUUUUUUUUUUAAACCAGAGUUAAGUGACUUGCCCAGGGUCACACAGCUAGUAAGUGGUUGGGGCAAGAUGUGAAUUCAGGCCUUCUUCACUCAAAGUCUAGUAAUCUAUCCACUGUGCCACCUUAGCUGCCUUACUAUUAUAUACCUCCCUCUCUUUAAAAAAAGAAAAAGAAAAACACUUAUUUUGUAUUAUAUAAGUAGCAAGGGCUAGGCAAUUAAGGUAAAGUGACUUGCCCAGGGCCAUACAGCAAGGAAGUAUAUGAGGCUAGAUUUGAACCCAGGUCCUCCCAAAUCUAAGCUUGGGAUUCCAUCCACUGUGCUACCUAGCUGUCCCUCUGACUGACAUCUCAUGAUCCUAUAGACUAUUAUUGUUCACUGGAAUGGGUUGCCAUUUCCUUCUCUAGUGGAUUAAGACAGAGAUGAAGAGCUUGCCCAGGGUCACAUAGUUAAGGCAGGAAUUUAAACUCAGAUCUUUCUGACUCUAGGCACAUUGCUCUAUCCACUAAGCUAUAUAACUAUACUUACUCCAGUAACACGAGUGGGGUGAGGCAUGGGCUCCCAAUACCCAGAGACUUCCAAUCAGUCAAGUGUGUUUAAAAUGAAAUUGAAACAAUUCUAAGGUUUCACAUCACAAUCUCCAAAUUGGAGAAGAGGACAAAGUAUGGUGACAAUAGUCAAUGUUGGAGGCAGAGAGGAACACUACUGCAUAGUUGGUGGAGCUAUGAACCAGUACCACCAUUUUGGAAAACCAUUUGGAAUUAUGCAAAUAAAGGGAUUAAAAUGUCCA